ACUUAAAUUGAAGAGUUUGAUCAUGGCUCAGAUUGAACGCUGGCGGCAGGCCUAACACAUGCAAGUCGAGCGGUAGCACAGAGAGCUUGCUCUCGGGUGACGAGCGGCGGACGGGUGAGUAAUGUCUGGGAAACUGCCUGAUGGAGGGGAUAACUACUGGAAACGGUAGCUAAUACCGCAUAACGUCGCAAGACCAAAGUGGGGGACCUUCGGGCCUCAUGCCAUCAGAUGUGCCCAGAUGGGAUUAGCUAGUAGGUGGGGUAACGGCUCACCUAGGCGACGAUCCCUAGCUGGUCUGAGAGGAUGACCAGCCACACUGGAACUGAGACACGG
Molecule: ribosomal RNA, 333 nt
Filed under: Klebsiella pneumoniae
Lineage: Bacteria; Pseudomonadati; Pseudomonadota; Gammaproteobacteria; Enterobacterales; Enterobacteriaceae
Description: bacterial SSU rRNA
Rfam family: Bacterial small subunit ribosomal RNA
Source: RNAcentral